CGGUCCAGACUCCUACGGGAGGCAGCAGUGAGGAAUAUUGGACAAUGGCCGGAAGGCUGAUCCAGCCAUGCCGCGUGCGGGAAGACGGCCCUAUGGGUUGUAAACCGCUUUUGCGGGGGAGCAAUAAGGUCCACGUGUGGACUGAUGAGAGCACCCUGCGAAUAAGCAUCGGCUAACUCCGUGCCAGCAGCCGCGGUAA
This 199-nucleotide ribosomal RNA is filed under the name uncultured rumen bacterium. RNAcentral's name for it is "partial 16S ribosomal RNA". It matches the Rfam family "Bacterial small subunit ribosomal RNA", at positions 327 to 523 of the family's 1533-position model. The record is from RNAcentral.